CGUCCGCCCUGGAGGUUGAUCUCAACAUUAGCCAACCAUUAACGUUUUGUGAGCUUGUAGGGACCCAGAAUUAACCAAUUUCAUCAGUCUGUGUUUCAUUAGCUUUUUAUAAAAACCAUAACAAGGACAUUAUUAACCCUGUAAAACACAGAGCAGCGGCGGUUUUCUUUCUUUUCUUGCAUUUUAGAGUGCUAACGUUAGCUAACUACUCUGCGUCCUGCUAGCUGACUUAACGGCUAAUUAGGAGCUUUUUGCUAGCUUAUUAGCAUGCUAAUUAGUUAGCCCGGAAACACCGGCUGUUUGAACCAUGUUUGAUUAACCCGGUGCUUCAGAGUUGAGCUUCAAUGCACUGAAAAUGAUUUAAAAAAAAUGAAGUUGAAGUUGUCACCUCAUCUGCAGCCUGCCUCUUGUCCUCCCACCAACAAUGACUGCAGCGCCAUCUUGUGAAAGAAUGAAGAAACUGCUGCCUACAGAACAGGUGCAUACUGAGCAGGUGGGCCCUUACGUAGGAGCCUCGAGUGUUUGGAGCUGGAGUAAACCAUACCUCACACUAUUUUAAAAAAUGACAGACUGUGCGUAUGAGAAGUAAAGACCAUCUGGUCCCACAGGAGCUGAGAGAGAUGCCAGACAAAUGGAAAGAGAAACAACAGAAAACCUGUGUGGGGGAUCGGUGGCGAGACUUGGAAGGAGCAGCAGCGAGAGAGAGGAACAACCGAUGUGACAGAAAAGAGCAAGGGGUAGAUUAUCAUCUGCCAUUUAUCUGGGGGCAUGAAGGUGCCAUUUGUUAUUUGGACAAUGAAUGGUGCUCACUGGAAAACCUCCCGAUUACACACAGUGAGGAAACAGUAAUGAGACCAACAGCUCUGUUGCCAUGGAGACCGGAAGCAAGAUUUUUGACACCUUGGACUCCUACGGCUGCCAUAGUUUUCAUUUGGGUUUUGGUUUAGUUGUUAAUUUUACAGUUAAUUUGAGCUUUUGUGAGGUGGAACAGCGUUACAUUGAACUUCUUUAUCGAUGAAUAUGCUCAUCUCUGUACAACCUUUGAAUUAGACUGCCCCAUAAUGUGUUACUGAACAAAGUGACAGCUAUUGCAUUGAAAUAUAAUUGCACUUUAACAGCAUUUGGUUUGUAAUCACACUAAAACAGAAUGCAGCACAAAUCUCCAGCAGCAGACACUGUUCCACCUGUGCCAUCCAAUCCAUUCAGUUGAGUUUAAUUCUUGUGAACCAGAGAGCCAUUAUGCAAAUGUUAGCUCAUCUGUAUGUAAAUGUCAUGUUUUUUUGUGUGGAGUCUGACUUCCAUAGAAACACAUAGAAAUGUUCAGCUCAGGUUUCAUCCCAUCAUACAGCACGGGCUUUUUCGAAUGUUUGCCUUGAAAUAAAAUAAAACUCAUCAGUUUCUUUAUUGUCCACAUGAAUCACCCGAGCCCAUUUUUGUGCUGUGACAGCGAGAUCUAUCAUAGUAGCUACAAAACCAACACCUUGCACCUAUAAAAGCAGCGCGGCAGCUGUCUCUAGCUCCAUGCCUAACCAGAUA
This is a long non-coding RNA of Epinephelus fuscoguttatus (brown-marbled grouper), 1536 nucleotides long. RefSeq lists it as uncharacterized. The transcript is spliced from 6 exons. Lineage: Eukaryota; Metazoa; Chordata; Actinopteri; Perciformes; Serranidae. The record is from RefSeq and is a predicted model, not a curated record.